Molecule: ribosomal RNA, 1452 nt
Filed under: uncultured prokaryote
Description: partial 16S ribosomal RNA
Rfam family: Bacterial small subunit ribosomal RNA
Source: RNAcentral
CCUGGCUCAGCGCGUACGCUGGCGGCAUGGUUAAAACAUGCAAGUCGAACGCGAAAGCACUUCGGUGCAAGUAGAGUGGCGAAAGGGCGAGGAAUAAGUACCUAACGUGCCUUCAGGUAAGGGAUAGCUAAUGGAAACAUGUGGUAAUACCUUAUAAUCUCACUGGUCCAUAUGGACUUUUGAGCAAAGGCUUGCUGCCUGGGGAUCGGGAAACGUCCUAUCAGCUUGUUGGUGAGGUAAAGGCUCACCAAGGCUAAGACGGGUAGCGGGUGUGAGAGCACGACCCGCCGCAUCGGGACUGAGACACUGCCCGGACUCCUACGGGAGGCUGCAGUAACGAAUAUUCCGCAAUGCGCGAAAGCGUGACGGAGCAAUGCCGCGUGCAGGAUGAAGCCCCUCGGGGUGUAAACUGCUGUCAGGGGUCACCAAGUUCUGAGGAACCCCAGAGGAAGGGCCGGCUAACUUCGUGCCAGCAGCCGCGGUAAUACGAAGGGCCCGAGCGUUGCGCGGAAUCACUGGGCUUAAAGCGGCGUAGGCGGGCUUGCAAGUGCCUUGUGAAAUCCCACGGCUUAACCGUGGAACUGCUCGGUAGACUGCAAGCCUUGAGAUCGGUAGAGGCUGUCGGAACUCUAGGUGUAGCGGUGAAAUGCGUAGAUAUCUAGAGGAACGCCCAAGGUGAAGACAGGCAGCUGGGCCGAAUCUGACGCUGAGGCACGAAAGCGUGGGUAGCGAACGGGAUUAGAUACCCCGGUAGUCCACGCCCUAAACGAUGUGCACUAGAUUGUGGCGGUUCUGACACCGUCACGGUCGUAGCUAAAGUGUUAAGUGCACCGCCUGGGGAGUACGGUCGCAAGAUUAAAACUCAAAGGAAUUGACGGGGGCUCACACAAGCGGUGGAGCAUGUGGCUUAAUUCGAAGCAACGCGAAGAACCUUAUCCUGGGUUUGACAUGUAUGGAUUAACUCCCUGAAAGGGGAGCGACACUCCUUGCGUGGAACAUACACAGGUGCUGCAUGGCUGUCGUCAGCUCGUGCUGUGAAGUGUUGGGUUAAGUCCCUUAACGAGCGCAACCCCUAUCUUUAGUUGCCAGCGAGUAAUGCCGGGGACUCUAGCGAGACUGCCGGUGUCAAACCGGAGGAAGGUGGGGACGACGUCAAGUCCUCAUGGCCUUUAUGCCCUGGGCUGCACACGUGCUACAAUGGCGCGGACAGAGCGACGCAAUACCGCAAGGUGGAGCAAAUCGCACAAACCGCGCCCCAGUUCGGAUUGUGGUCUGCAACUCGACCACAUGAAGUUGGAAUCGCUAGUAAUCGCGUAUCAGCUACGACGCGGUGAAUACGUUCCUGAGCCUUGUACACACCGCCCGUCACGUCAUGGGAGCCGGGAGCACCCGAAGCCGUACCGAUUCAGGUAUGUCUACGGUGAGAUCGGUGACUGGGACGAAGUCGUAACA